AUGGUGAAGCUGGCGACGGCGAGGGAGGCGCGGCUGUACGGGCCGGCGCUGGCGGUGCGGCGGUGGGAGUACACCAACGCCGGCGCGUACAUGUUCGGGACCCUGCUCCUGGCCGCGGGGCUCGCGGCGCUGUGCGCGUCCGAGGGCGGCGUCGGCGCCAGGGACGCCGGGCUCGCCGUGGCCGGCGUGGCGCUGGCCGUGGUGGCGGCCGUGAACGCGCACGACCUGGGCGCGCACCUCGCCGGCGUGGACUGCCGCGUCGGGCUCGCCCGGUUCGACCCCCAGCUCGGCCUCGUCGAGUUCCUCGCGCCCGCGCUCCACGCCGCCGGCUGCGUCCUCGCCAUCGUCGGCCUCGCGCUGCAGCUCUUCUCACAGGGCGACAGGCUAGAGAGGCGCGCGGCGGACGCGCUGCUGGCGGGCGCGGCGCUCUGGCUGCUGGGCUCCGUGCUCAGCUCGUGCCAGGUCUACGAGCGCGCCGACGGCCGCGCGCAGCUGCUGCAGUCCAGCGUGCAGGUGCCCGUCCUCCUCGGCAGCCUGCUCUUCCUCGUCGCCGCCGUCCUCCACCGCCGCCGUGAGCCCGCCCUGGCAGGCGAGAGGGAAAGCGAGAGCGAGAGGUGGAUUAGCCUGUGCGGGAGCGUGCUGUGGGUGGCGGGCGCACUGUUCAACGCGCUCAAGGUGUUCGUGAUGCACCAGAGCGACGCGCCGCGGCUCGAGAAGCUCCGCGGCGGCGCGCAGGAGCGGCUCGCCCGGGACCGUGAGGGCCGCGUGCCGCUGGUGUGGAGGUCGGCGGCGCCGCCCACCGAGCUGCGCUGA
This 813-nucleotide ribosomal RNA is filed under the name Triticum aestivum (bread wheat). RNAcentral describes it as "partial small subunit ribosomal RNA". Lineage: Eukaryota; Viridiplantae; Streptophyta; Magnoliopsida; Poales; Poaceae. The record is from RNAcentral.